GGCGCAGACGGUUACUUAAGCAGGAUGUGAAAUCCCACGGCUCAACCGUGGAGGGUCAUUGGAAACUGGGAGACUUGAGUGCAGAAGAGGAAAGUGGAAUUCCAUGUGUAGCGGUGAAAUGCGUAGAGAUAUGGAGGAACACCAGUGGCGAAGGCGACUUUCUGGUCUGUAACUGACACUGAGGCGCGAAAGCGUGGGGAGCAAACAGGAUUAGAUACCCUGGUAGUCCACGCCGUAAACGAUGAGUGCUAAGUGUUAGAGGGUUUCCGCCCUUUAGUGCUGAAGUUAACGCAUUAAGCACUCCGCCUGGGGAGUACGGCCGCAAGGCUGAAACUCAAAAAUUAGACGG
This 349-nucleotide ribosomal RNA is filed under the name uncultured Bacillus sp. RNAcentral describes it as "bacterial SSU rRNA". It matches the Rfam family "Bacterial small subunit ribosomal RNA", at positions 568 to 916 of the family's 1533-position model. Lineage: Bacteria; Bacillati; Bacillota; Bacilli; Caryophanales; Bacillaceae. The record is from RNAcentral.